This 490-nucleotide ribosomal RNA is filed under the name uncultured bacterium. RNAcentral's name for it is "partial 16S ribosomal RNA". It matches the Rfam family "Bacterial small subunit ribosomal RNA", at positions 28 to 506 of the family's 1533-position model. The record is from RNAcentral.
GAUGAACGCUGGCUACAGGCUUAACACAUGCAAGUCGAGGGGAAACGACGGGGAAGCUUGCUUCCCCGGGCGUCGACCGGCGCACGGGUGAGUAACGCGUAUCCAACCUGCCUCUGACUGAGGGAUAACCCGUCGAAAGUCGGCCUAAUACCUCAUGGCAUCGUCUGCGGGCAUCCAACGACGAUUAAAGAUUUCAUCGGUCGGGGAUGGGGAUGCGUCUGAUUAGCUUGUUGGCGGGGUAACGGCCCACCAAGGCUACGAUCAGUAGGGGUUCUGAGAGGAAGGUCCCCCACAUUGGAGCUGAGACACGGUCCAAACUCCUACGGGAGGCAGCAGUGAGGAAUAUUGGUCAAUGGGCGGGAGCCUGAACCAGCCAAGUAGCGUGCAGGAUGACGGCCCUAUGGGUUGUAAACUGCUUUGAUGCGGGGAUAAAGUGAGGGACGUGUCCUUCAUUGCAGGUACCGCAUGAAUAAGGACCGGCUAAUUCCGU